AACUAAUUAUUUUUAAAAAAGUAGUGUUGAAAACACUUACCUUUUGUAUCAUGGUUUAGCUA
RNAcentral lists this transfer RNA (62 nucleotides) under Mammilla mammata. RNAcentral's name for it is "tRNA-Phe". The record is from RNAcentral. Lineage: Eukaryota; Metazoa; Mollusca; Gastropoda; Littorinimorpha; Naticidae.